UCGUCUCGGACACACCGUGAGCGGUGCAG
This 29-nucleotide small RNA is filed under the name Bombyx mori (domestic silkworm). Its description in RNAcentral is "ovarian small RNA-29281". Lineage: Eukaryota; Metazoa; Arthropoda; Insecta; Lepidoptera; Bombycidae. The record is from RNAcentral.